UCCAAGUGAAAGGUUCCUUUUCAAUGGGCU
RNAcentral lists this non-coding RNA (30 nucleotides) under Mus musculus (house mouse). The record is from RNAcentral. Lineage: Eukaryota; Metazoa; Chordata; Mammalia; Rodentia; Muridae.